Molecule: ribosomal RNA, 509 nt
Filed under: uncultured Tylospora
Lineage: Eukaryota; Fungi; Basidiomycota; Agaricomycetes; Atheliales; Atheliaceae
Description: eukaryotic LSU rRNA
Rfam family: 5.8S ribosomal RNA (bases 95-249)
Source: RNAcentral
GCCUUCGGGCCUAUGUCUUAUCAUAUAAUCUGAAUGUCUAAUAGAAUGUAAACCCAUUUCGUUGCCUUGAAAACGUAACGAAAGAAAACUAUACAACUUUCAACAACGGAUCUCUUGGCUCUCGCAUCGAUGAAGAACGCAGCGAAAUGCGAUAAGUAAUGUGAAUUGCAGAUUUUCAGUGAAUCAUCGAAUCUUUGAACGCACCUUGCGCCCCUUGGUAUUCCGAGGGGCAUGCCUGUUUGAGUGUCAUUAAAUCCUCAACCCCUCCGAUUCGUUUCGGUGGGGAUUGGACUUGGAGCGUGCUGGCGAAGGUCGGCUCCUCUUUAAAUGCAUCAGCGGAGAAAAUGCCUUUUGCGCCUCUGGCCGUUCAGCGUGAUAAUGAUGUUGCGCUGCGGUCGAGCUUAAGGUCCGCUUCCAAAGGUCCUCUCGGACGAUAUAUACAUAUGACUUUUGACCUCAAAUCAGGUAGGACUACCCGCUGAACUUAAGCAUAUCAAUAAGCGGAGGAA